UACGUAGGUGGCAAGCGUUGUCCGGAUUUACUGGGCGUAAAGGGAGCGUAGGCGGAUACUUAAGUGGGAUGUGAAAUACCUGGGCUUAACUUGGGUGCUGCAUUCCAAACUGGGUGUCUAGAGUGUUGGAGAGGAAAGUGGAAUUCCUAGUGUAGCGGUGAAAUGCGUAGAGAUUAGGAAGAACACCAGUGGCGAAGGCGACUUUCUGGACAAUAACUGACGCUGAGGCUCGAAAGCGUGGGGAGCAAACAGGAUUAGAUACCCUGGUAGUCCACGCCGUAAACGAUGGGUACUAGGUGUAGGGGGUAUCGACUCCCACUGUGCCGCAGUUAAAACAAUAAGUACCCCGCCUGGGGAGUACGGUCGCAAGAUUAAA
This 376-nucleotide ribosomal RNA is filed under the name uncultured bacterium. RNAcentral's name for it is "bacterial SSU rRNA". It matches the Rfam family "Bacterial small subunit ribosomal RNA", at positions 524 to 898 of the family's 1533-position model. The record is from RNAcentral.